GAUGAACGCUGGCGGCGUGCUUAACACAUGCAGGUCGAACGGAAAGGCCCAAGCUUGCUUGGGUACUCGAGUGGCGAACGGGUGAGUAACACGUGGGUGAUCUGCCCUGCACUUCGGGAUAAGCCUGGGAAACUGGGUCUAAUACCGGAUAGGACCACUUCUUGGAUGUUGUGGUGGAAAGUUUUUUCGGUGUGGGAUGAGCUCGCGGCCUAUCAGCUUGUUGGUGGGGUAAUGGCCUACCAAGGCGUCGACGGGUAGCCGGCCUGAGAGGGUGUACGGCCACAUUGGGACUGAGAUACGGCCCAGACUCCUACGGGAGGCAGCAGUGGGGAAUAUUGCACAAUGGGCGCAAGCCUGAUGCAGCGACGCCGCGUGGGGGAUGACGGCCUUCGGGUUGUAAACUCCUUUCGCUAGGGACGAAGCGUUUUGUGACGGUACCUGGAGAAGAAGCACCGGCUAACUACGUG
Molecule: ribosomal RNA, 467 nt
Filed under: uncultured bacterium
Lineage: Bacteria
Description: partial 16S ribosomal RNA
Rfam family: Bacterial small subunit ribosomal RNA
Source: RNAcentral